Humulus lupulus (European hop) is the source of this 480-nucleotide long non-coding RNA. RefSeq lists it as uncharacterized. The transcript is spliced from 2 exons. Lineage: Eukaryota; Viridiplantae; Streptophyta; Magnoliopsida; Rosales; Cannabaceae. The record is from RefSeq and is a predicted model, not a curated record.
UUAAAAACCUGAUUUUCUCUCUCUCUCCUUCCUCUCUUCCUCUCUCUCUCUCUUCUCCCUUCUUCUUCUUCAUCUUCUUCCAUAUCUUUCUUCUCCCUUCUUCAUCUUCUUCAUCUAUUAUACUGUGACGAGUGCGAAGAAAAGAAUUAGCUCGAAAGGUUGCCUCUCAGUCAGACUUCAUUAAUCUCCCGACUAUCAAAAGGAGGAAAAUAGGUCUUAGUGGCGGGGAAGGUUCUUGGAAGCUUAGAGAAUGUGUAUUGAGGCGGAAUGGAUUCAAAGAGCCGAGAGUUUCGAUUUGAGGAUGUAGUUUUGUUUUUAUGGCUUUUACAUGUAUUUUUACGCAUCUUAUUACGUAAAUCACUUUUUAAUAAUGUCAUGCUUUGAUUUUAAAACAAUGGGAUCCCAUAUCCUACUUAUUAUUUUAUGUAAGUUCAACAUUUCCUUUUUACAAGUUUUAAUAAAGUUAUGAAUUUUUUUCAA